GACGAACGCUGGCGGCGUGCCUAAUACAUGCAAGUAGAACGCUGAAGGAGGAGCUUGCUUCUCUGGAUGAGUUGCGAACGGGUGAGUAACGCGUAGGUAACCUGCCUGGUAGCGGGGGAUAACUAUUGGAAACGAUAGCUAAUACCGCAUAACAGUAGAUAUCGCAUGAUAUCUACUUGAAAGGUGCAAUUGCAUCACUACCAGAUGGACCUGCGUUGUAUUAGCUAGUUGGUGAGGUAACGGCUCACCAAGGCGACGAUACAUAGCCGACCUGAGAGGGUGGUCGGCCACACUGGGACUGGGACACGGCCCAGACUCCUACGGGAGGCAGCAGUAGGGAAUCUUCGGCAAUGGACGGAAGUCUGACCGAGCAACGCCGCGUGAGUGAAGAAGGUUUUCGGAUCGUAAAGCUCUGUUGUAAGAGAAGAACGAGUGUGAGAGUGGAAAGUUCACACUGUGACGGUAUCUUACCAGAAAGGGACGGCUAACUACGUG
RNAcentral lists this ribosomal RNA (495 nucleotides) under uncultured bacterium. RNAcentral's name for it is "partial 16S ribosomal RNA". It matches the Rfam family "Bacterial small subunit ribosomal RNA", at positions 28 to 507 of the family's 1533-position model. The record is from RNAcentral.